AUUCAUCAGCGAGAGGGGACCUGAAAGCAGGUCGCCAUCUGUGAGGAUUAAAGUUAGGACCAAAUGCUGCUCAGAAAUUGUUUUAAUCUCAAAAGUAGUUGGCAAGUUUUCAGAGUUCAUUUUCAAGGCCUGGUGUAUGCAUUGGUUACAUGAAAACCGUGUGACAACCUUGGAAGUCUGAAAGAGCAGGAGAGAGGCUAAGCACACACAUAUUGUGAUUUUAAGAGUCUCAAGGUGAGAAGAAACAUCAGAAGCAGUUGAGAGACCAGGACGUGGGUCCUCAAAGGAUGAACAGAAGUUCUUUUGGAUAACAUUUUAAAAUGUUUCCUCCAGAGUUAUCUGCCUCAUUAACAAUGGUUUGAGUCUCAAGAGUCUCUCUUCGAUUUUACAAACAUGAUUUGUUGCUCUGCUAUAAAUGCAUGCUGCUCUAGUCCUUCAAUAAACCCACAACAUGUUUUCACCA
This is a long non-coding RNA of Homo sapiens (human), 463 nucleotides long. RefSeq lists it as uncharacterized. Lineage: Eukaryota; Metazoa; Chordata; Mammalia; Primates; Hominidae. The record is from RefSeq and is marked validated. The transcript is spliced from 4 exons.